This 121-nucleotide small RNA is filed under the name uncultured Ureibacillus sp. Its description in RNAcentral is "ydaO/yuaA leader". It matches the Rfam family "c-di-AMP riboswitch aptamer (ydaO/yuaA leader)", at positions 11 to 129 of the family's 134-position model. Rfam says of the family: This family represents a conserved RNA structure found upstream of the ydaO and yuaA genes in Bacillus subtilis and related genes in other bacteria. The ydaO/yuaA element is thought to act as a genetic "off" switch for the ydaO and yuaA genes in its native state. The record is from RNAcentral. Lineage: Bacteria; Bacillati; Bacillota; Bacilli; Caryophanales; Caryophanaceae.
UCAUUCGCUGAAUUCAAAUUUUGAAUCGGGGGAACCAAUGUUUAGGGGUGAAUCCUCAUAAGAGGUAGGGUGACUCUAACCAUCCAAACCCGACAGCUAACCUCGUAAGCGUUGUUUGGAG